This 564-nucleotide ribosomal RNA is filed under the name Triticum aestivum (bread wheat). Its description in RNAcentral is "partial small subunit ribosomal RNA". The record is from RNAcentral. Lineage: Eukaryota; Viridiplantae; Streptophyta; Magnoliopsida; Poales; Poaceae.
AUGUAUCCCACCACCCCCUCCGACGCGUACGACAGGUUCAGCAACGGACCUCCGCCCACGGCGCCGCCGCCGCAGCAGCAGCCCACGUACAACCACGCCAUGAACCAGAGCCACCACGCCCGCCCCGCCGCCGGGCUGGCGCGCUGGUCCACCGGCCUCUUCCACUGCAUGGACGACCCCGGAAACUGUCUCAUCACCUGCCUGUGCCCCUGCAUCACGUUCGGGCAGAUCGCUGACAUCGUGGACAGAGGAACCUGCUCGUGCGCCGGGAGCGGGGCGGCCUACGCGGCCAUCUGCGCGACGACGGGGAUGGGGUGCCUCUACUCGUGCGUCUACCGCACCAAGAUGCGGGCGCACUACGACCUGGACGAGGGGGAGUGCCCGGACUUCCUCGUGCAUUGGUGCUGCGAGCUCUGCGCGCUCUGCCAGGAGUACCGGGAGCUCAAGAACCGCGGCUUCGACAUGGGGAUCGGCUGGGACGCCAACAUGGAGCGCCGGAACCGGGGCGUCACCGGCGGGCAGGUCAUGGGGGCGCCGGCCACGCCCGUCGGCAUGAUGAGGUAA